GCGGAAGUGGCGGAAUUGGUAUACGCGCUACCUUGAGGUGGUAGUGAGGGUUUCCUCUUGGGGGUUCGAGUCCCCCCUUUCGCA
This 84-nucleotide transfer RNA is filed under the name Chlamydiia bacterium. RNAcentral's name for it is "tRNA-Leu". It matches the Rfam family "tRNA". From Rfam's summary of the family: Transfer RNA (tRNA) molecules are approximately 80 nucleotides in length. Lineage: Bacteria; Pseudomonadati; Chlamydiota; Chlamydiia. The record is from RNAcentral.